GGAUGUGAGGGCGAUCUGGCUGCGACAUCUGUCACCCCAUUGAUCACAGGGUUGAUUCAGCUGAUCUGGCUGGCUAGGCGGGUGACCUCUUCCUCCCUCACUGCUCCAUGUGGGUCCCUCCCGAAGCUGCGUGCUCUGUCGAAGAGGAUGGGCCUUCCCUGAACAGAGACGGACGGGUCUUCGGUCGAGGUAUACGAGUAGCUGCGUUCUCCUGCUAGAACCUCCAAACAAGCUCUCAAGGUCCAUUAUUAAGUCACUAAUAAAACUUUUAAAAAAUUAAAAGAGAACAUAUACUUU
Unclassified non-coding RNA from Erinaceus europaeus (western European hedgehog), 297 nucleotides. Its record names the gene 7SK. It matches the Rfam family "7SK RNA". From Rfam's summary of the family: 7SK was discovered as an abundant small nuclear RNA in the mid-70s but a possible function has only recently been suggested. Two independent studies have found that 7SK RNA binds the CDK9/cyclin T complex (known as elongation factor P-TEFb). The record is from Ensembl. NCBI's taxonomy places the organism in Eukaryota, Metazoa, Chordata, Mammalia, Eulipotyphla, Erinaceidae.